UUCCCCUUGGCCCUGUUAGAUAUGGAGCUGGUUCCUGAGGCUACUUCGAGUUCCCCAAACCGCUUCGAGUGGCAGCACAGCUAAUUGAGGAAUGCGGAAGCAGGAAAGCGCAUUCCAGAGAAGCGGCCGAGCAAACAAGUUUAAGGCAACAAGUUCGUGCGUCGCCGGGAUUAGAAGGGGGCCUGGGACAAUGGAGCGCAAUCGACCCCCUUCGUCUUUGAAGAAGGCUGUUGCCACCGCUGCGGAGCCGAGUCGCCGGGAUUUGCAGGUGGGCGUCGGACAAUGGAGCAGGUGCAGCCCCCCUCCUUCUCCGGCCUAGAAGUGAUUGCCAGUCUGCGUGGCAAGACCGCAGAGAGCCCCGACAGGUGUGCCCCGCGACACGGGCGCCUACCAUUGGUUGCAAGUGGCGUCAUCGGAGUGGACUCUCCCAUUGGUCAAACAUGACGUGACUUGCAGUGCUCGAAGGGUUUAUAAGAAGCCUUCCAGAGAGACCUGAGAUUCUGGGACAUGCCCUGAUUCCCUGAUUCACCUCUCUCGAACUUCUUGCCGCGGGCCGCAGCGUCCGAGUUGCUGCCGGCCCGUAAUGACAGUACGUCUGUUAAUUGACGCUCACCUCCUUGUAUAAUAUGUAAAUAAAACCCUCCCAAGUUUUGGGUUUUUCAUCCGCGAAGACCGUCCUUCAACCCCUACAUCUGGUUGGCAGCGGUAGGAUCGCCUCCGAAUGCAUCUGCUGGUGGCAGCGCUACGGAUAAACCUUCGUCAAGAGAGAUCCUAAGGAACCGGGAAGAGCGAAGAAGAGAGAGCCUUCGUCGAAAGAGGUCCGAAGAGACUGGGAGUAUCGAAGAAGGAGCGAGCCUUCGACCCAGGGAGUCCGGAAGGGACCGGCAACAGCGGACGAGCGAACCGGAUGGCAGGGUGCUGCAACCGGUCCAGGAUCCCGAGGGUUGUCAAACGAGGCUCGACCCCAGUACCCUGCAGCUUCUUUCAGCGUUCCUCCUGGCCAGCGAAUUGAGUUCACCGGCCAUUCAGAACAACCGGGGCGAGGACGAGCUGUUAGAUAUGGAGCUGGUUCCUGAGGCUACUUCGAGUUCCCCAAACCGCUUCGAGUGGCAGCACAGCUAAUUGAGGAAUGCGGAAGCAGGAAAGCGCAUUCCAGAGAAGCGGCCGAGCAAACAAGUUUAAGGCAACAAGUUCGUGCGUCGCCGGGAUUAGAAGGGGGCCUGGGACAAUGGAGCGCAAUCGACCCCCUUCGUCUUUGAAGAAGGCUGUUGCCACCGCUGCGGAGCCGAGUCGCCGGGAUUUGCAGGUGGGCGUCGGACAAUGGAGCAGGUGCAGCCCCCCUCCUUCUCCGGCCUAGAAGUGAUUGCCAGUCUGCGUGGCAAGACCGCAGAGAGCCCCGACAGGUGUGCCCCGCGACACGGGCGCCUACCAUUGGUUGCAAGUGGCGUCAUCGGAGUGGACUCUCCCAUUGGUCAAACAUGACGUGACUUGCAGUGCUCGAAGGGUUUAUAAGAAGCCUUCCAGAGAGACCUGAGAUUCUGGGACAUGCCCUGAUUCCCUGAUUCACCUCUCUCGAACUUCUUGCCGCGGGCCGCAGCGUCCGAGUUGCUGCCGGCCCGUAAUGACAGUACGUCUGUUAAUUGACGCUCACCUCCUUGUAUAAUAUGUAAAUAAAACCCUCCCAAGUUUUGGGUUUUUCAUCCGCGAA
Dermacentor albipictus is the source of this 1708-nucleotide long non-coding RNA. RefSeq lists it as uncharacterized. The record is from RefSeq and is a predicted model, not a curated record. NCBI's taxonomy places the organism in Eukaryota, Metazoa, Arthropoda, Arachnida, Ixodida, Ixodidae.